This 1167-nucleotide ribosomal RNA is filed under the name Curtobacterium luteum. Its description in RNAcentral is "bacterial SSU rRNA". It matches the Rfam family "Bacterial small subunit ribosomal RNA", at positions 53 to 1231 of the family's 1533-position model. The record is from RNAcentral. Lineage: Bacteria; Bacillati; Actinomycetota; Actinomycetes; Micrococcales; Microbacteriaceae.
ACAUGCAAGUCGAACGAUGAAGCCCAGCUUGCUGGGUGGAUUAGUUGGCGAACGGGUGAGUAACACGUGAGUAACCUGCCCCUGACUCUGGGAUAAGCGUUGGAAACGACGUCUAAUACUGGAUAUGACUACUGGUCGCAUGGCCUGGUGGUGGAAAGAUUUUUUGGUUGGGGAUGGACUCGCGGCCUAUCAGCUUGUUGGUGAGGUAAUGGCUCACCAAGGCGACGACGGGUAGCCGGCCUGAGAGGGUGACCGGCCACACUGGGACUGAGACACGGCCCAGACUCCUACGGGAGGCAGCAGUGGGGAAUAUUGCACAAUGGGCGAAAGCCUGAUGCAGCAACGCCGCGUGAGGGAUGACGGCCUUCGGGUUGUAAACCUCUUUUAGUAGGGAAGAAGCGAAAGUGACGGUACCUGCAGAAAAAGCACCGGCUAACUACGUGCCAGCAGCCGCGGUAAUACGUAGGGUGCAAGCGUUGUCCGGAAUUAUUGGGCGUAAAGAGCUCGUAGGCGGUUUGUCGCGUCUGCUGUGAAAUCCCGAGGCUCAACCUCGGGCUUGCAGUGGGUACGGGCAGACUAGAGUGCGGUAGGGGAGAUUGGAAUUCCUGGUGUAGCGGUGGAAUGGGCAGAUAUCAGGAGGAACACCGAUGGCGAAGGCAGAUCUCUGGGCCGUAACUGACGCUGAGGAGCGAAAGCGUGGGGAGCGAACAGGAUUAGAUACCCUGGUAGUCCACGCCGUAAACGUUGGGCGCUAGAUGUAGGGACCUUUCCACGGUUUCUGUGUCGUAGCUAACGCAUUAAGCGCCCCGCCUGGGGAGUACGGCCGCAAGGCUAAAACUCAAAGGAAUUGACGGGGGCCCGCACAAGCGGCGGAGCAUGCGGAUUAAUUCGAUGCAACGCGAAGAACCUUACCAAGGCUUGACAUACACCGGAAACGGCCAGAGAUGGUCGCCCCCUUGUGGUCGGUGUACAGGUGGUGCAUGGUUGUCGUCAGCUCGUGUCGUGAGAUGUUGGGUUAAGUCCCGCAACGAGCGCAACCCUCGUUCUAUGUUGCCAGCGCGUUAUGGCGGGGACUCAUAGGAGACUGCCGGGGUCAACUCGGAGGAAGGUGGGGAUGACGUCAAAUCAUCAUGCCCCUUAUGUCUUGGGCUUCACGCAUGCUACAAU